This 489-nucleotide ribosomal RNA is filed under the name uncultured bacterium. RNAcentral describes it as "bacterial SSU rRNA". It matches the Rfam family "Bacterial small subunit ribosomal RNA", at positions 341 to 847 of the family's 1533-position model. The record is from RNAcentral.
ACGGGAGGCAGCAGUGAGGGAUAUUGGGCAAUGGGGGAAACCCUGACCCAGCAACGCCGCGUGAGGGAUGACGGUUUUCGGAUUGUAAACCUCUGUCCUCUGUGAAGAUAGUGACGGUAGCAGAGGAGGAAGCUCCGGCUAACUACGUGCCAGCAGCCGCGGUAAUACGUAGGGAGCAAGCGUUGUCCGGAUUUACUGGGUGUAAAGGGUGCGUAGGCGGAUUGGCAAGUCAGAAGUGAAAUCCAUGGGCUUAACCCAUGAACUGCUUUUGAAACUGUUAGUCUUGAGUGAAGUAGAGGUAGGCGGAAUUCCCGGUGUAGCGGUGAAAUGCGUAGAGAUCGGGAGGAACACCAGUGGCGAAGGCGGCCUACUGGGCUUUAACUGACGCUGAGGCACGAAAGUGUGGGUAGCAAACAGGAUUAGAUACCCUGGUAGUCCACACUGUAAACGAUGAUUAUUAGGUGUGGGGGGUCUAACCCCCUCCGUGCC